UACGUAGGGUGCAAGCGUUGUCCGGAAUUAUUGGGCGUAAAGAGCUCGUAGGCGGUUUGUUGCGUCGGCUGUGAAAUCCCGAGGCUCAACCUCGGGUCUGCAGUCGAUACGAGCAAACUAGAGUGUUGCAGGGGAGACUGGAAUUCCUGGUGUAGCGGUGAAAUGCGCAGAUAUCAGGAGGAACACCGGUGGCGAAGGCGGGUCUCUGGACCGAUACUGACGCUGAGGAGCGAAAGCGUGGGGAGCGAACAGG
Molecule: ribosomal RNA, 253 nt
Filed under: uncultured bacterium
Lineage: Bacteria
Description: partial 16S ribosomal RNA
Rfam family: Bacterial small subunit ribosomal RNA
Source: RNAcentral